RNAcentral lists this small RNA (172 nucleotides) under Enterococcus canis. RNAcentral's name for it is "Listeria sRNA rli28". It matches the Rfam family "Listeria sRNA rli28". The record is from Rfam by way of RNAcentral. Lineage: Bacteria; Bacillati; Bacillota; Bacilli; Lactobacillales; Enterococcaceae.
UAUGAUGUGAUGUAAUUUUAGAGGUGGAAAAGCGAAAAGAUGGUGGCUAUCCCGAAAGGUGGUGGUGCUUAUGUAUGUGAGCGCUGAAAUCUUUAGAAAGGAGAAGCCUUUUGCAGAUUGCAGAAGUUAUUGCUUACUUGGUAAUUUUAGCACCUUGUUUGACGGCUCUUUU